AAGGUUCCGGCGCACGAAAGGGUCCCACUCCACACACACAGAGCCCCUCCCCUCCGGUCCCGCCCCGAGGCGGGGCCGCUCGGCCGUGGAAACGGGGCUCGGUUGUGCCACUCACGGCUCUGCUGUUCUAGGGCUGCUCGGGAAACGUGUCCUGGCCGUGCGGCUCCAGGGCUGUCCGAAAAACGGGCCCGGUUCCACCGCUCCCGGGGAAACGGGUCCAGGCUGUGCCGCUCCUGCGUUUCCCGGGAAACAGGCCUCGUCUGGGCUUCCUGGGCUUCCCAGGAAACAGACCCCGGCACUGCCACUCCAGGGGAAAUGUGUCCCAGCUGUGCCGCUCCAGGGCGGCCAGGCAGGAGCGGGACCUGCCCUGGCCCGGUCCCAGCCGGGGCGGUGUACGGGGGCUGUUUCCGUGGGGAGGUCGGCGGGGAAAGGCGUCACUGCCCUGACCAUGCUGGUCUGUGGGCUAUUCCGACUGGAAAACGUUCGGAUAUGGCUUAGAAGUGAAGGCAAGCACUGGAGAAGGCUGCAGAGCAGGAGGAGACAGGAAGUGUUAAAAUAAACAUGAAAAGGGCAA
Long non-coding RNA from Neopelma chrysocephalum (saffron-crested tyrant-manakin), 574 nucleotides. RefSeq lists it as uncharacterized. The transcript is spliced from 2 exons. The record is from RefSeq and is a predicted model, not a curated record. NCBI's taxonomy places the organism in Eukaryota, Metazoa, Chordata, Aves, Passeriformes, Pipridae.